UAUAAAUUAAAAUUUAAUUUAAAUUCAAAUUCAUAAGUUAGAUUCGAAAUAUUUGAUUAAAUCUUAAUUUUUAAUUUAAGUUUAAAUUAAAAUUUUAAAUUAUAUAUUUAAUUUUUAAAUUUUAACUCAUAUUUUAAUUAAAAAAGUUGAAAAAAUAAAAUUAAUCCGAAUAAAUAUUCAUUCCGUCCGGAUUAAACUACCAAUUCGGCCUCCUAGGCCGGAUUGAGAAAAGAGGUGAUUGGAAAAUUUUCAUUCCACUAGAGAAUCGGAGUCGGAACGGGACUCCCGCAUAUCAAACACCCACAAACGAAUUUAUCCAUUUCGAUUUCAAUUUCAGGAUGAAAAUGAAGCGAACCAAACACGCCUUUGGAGUGAUGGAGUGAUUUUGAUUGGAUU
RNAcentral lists this long non-coding RNA (396 nucleotides) under Ananas comosus (pineapple). Its description in RNAcentral is "long non-coding RNA (ACOM_LNC022128)". The record is from RNAcentral. Lineage: Eukaryota; Viridiplantae; Streptophyta; Magnoliopsida; Poales; Bromeliaceae.